Myotis davidii is the source of this 795-nucleotide RNA transcript. RefSeq lists it as uncharacterized. Lineage: Eukaryota; Metazoa; Chordata; Mammalia; Chiroptera; Vespertilionidae. The record is from RefSeq and is a predicted model, not a curated record. The transcript has 3 exons.
AUGAGAGCUUCUCCUGGAGCCCUCAGCUGGGAGGGAGGGACGUCAUUGUUCGCUCCUGCCUGUUCGAGGAGGACACCGACUGGACAGAGAACUUUCCCAGCCCAGGGUCCGCACACCAAGUGGGUGCACCCAUGGGCAUGUGCUCGGGUGCCUCCUGCUGCUUCCACUGGGGUGUGGUGUGGGUCCCCACGGCCAGAAGUGGUCCUCUGGGGGGCUGGGGGAGGCAUCUAGGCCUUGUAGCAGCCGCAGUCAAGUGUGUCCUUGGAGCCGUCCGUUCAUCGCCUGCCGGGCCAUCGCCACUGGAGACUGUGGCCUGAUGGACACCUGGUGUAGACAAUGAGGGAAGAACUCGCCUCCCACACCCAAGAGGUGACCCCAGAGCAAGGCCCAGAUGACCCUACGUGCCGGGACGAUGCGGCUGGCCUGCAUGUUUUCAUCCAUCCUGCUGUUCGGAGCCGCGGGCCUCCUCCUCUUCAUCAGCCUGCAGGACUCCACGGAGCUCACCCCCCAGCAGGUGCCAGGAGUCAAGUUCAACAUCAGGCUACCGCAGCCGCGCGACGUGAGUUCUGAUCAAUCUCAGCAGGGCUGCCUGGGGAAGUUGGCGAGGGCAGGGGAGAAGUUUGGAGCGCGCAUUAAACCCGUUCUUGGAAAGAAAAAUGCGUCCGGCCCUUCCCGGGCGCCCUGGGAACAAAGCCGGGCCCGGGGCGUGAGUUUCCCUUCCCCACUGGAUGGCAGGUUGGAGUGUGCUAACUGACUCAGUAAAUCUGAGGGCUCCUCCAGCCCCGCUGCCGCCCC